CCUACGGGAGGCAGCAGUGGGGAAUAUUGCACAAUGGGGGGAAACCCUGAUGCAGCGACGCCCGCGUGGAGGAAGAAGGUCUUCGGAUUGUAAACUCCUGUUGUUGAGGAAGAUAAUGACGGUACUCAACAAGGAAGUGACGGCUAACUACGUGCCAGCA
RNAcentral lists this ribosomal RNA (160 nucleotides) under uncultured bacterium. RNAcentral's name for it is "partial 16S ribosomal RNA". It matches the Rfam family "Bacterial small subunit ribosomal RNA", at positions 338 to 513 of the family's 1533-position model. The record is from RNAcentral.